GCUAUUAAAGAAAGCGCCAGAACGCAGCAGAUCCUAAUCUGUUGAUUGGGUCGGAGAGCUGCUUUUUCUUCUUCUUCCUUCAUAUUAGAAGAACUUAAUCACAUUGGUGUCGAAACCCAGGAAGAAGAAGACGGGGUCGGCGAUUCAGAACAUAUGGUCUGAAAGUCCAACCUUCCCCGAUGCACACUUAGUCCCGUCAAUUGGAGGGCCCUUCUUGGUCUUGCAGAAGAAAGGGUUUUCUGGAUGGCUGCACCACAGCUGCUUGCAAGGAUCGUAGGAAGGCCCAGCGACAGACAUUCUCCAGACUCUGAGAUGCAUUGCCCAGCUCUAUUAAACCCAUGGACUGACAACAGCAACACAAAUCACAGCUUCUCCAUGAUGUACCUCCAGCGUUCUCCAGUCUCCAGGACCUAGACUGCAGCUCUGCACAAGAAGUUUGACCAGAGGAAAAAUGGUCAUUCCAAACUGAGCCUGGUUUCUCUCAAGGUUUUUUCGUUCACUUUCGUCAAUUGGUAAAAUUUUGUUCCUCGCCACUGUCGCCACUGGCUUGCUUGGUUUGGGACUUGUGGAGCUGUGCAUCGAUGGAUUUGCUCUUCAGUGUUUGGCUUUUCAGCAGUGAAAAUUAAACCACACUGAACUGAACUAAACUGAACUUCAACUCUGAAAACUGGACUGGCAGUUUCAAUGUACUAGAACUUCUAUGUUAAGGUGCUUUAAUACAAUCUACAUUGUAAAAGCGCAAUAGAAAUAAA
Molecule: long non-coding RNA, 752 nt
Organism: Danio aesculapii
Lineage: Eukaryota; Metazoa; Chordata; Actinopteri; Cypriniformes; Danionidae
Exons: 5
Source: RefSeq, a predicted model, not a curated record